GAGUUUGAUCUUGGCUCAGAUCGAACGCUGGCGGCAUGCCUUACACAUGCAAGUCGAACGGCAGCACGGGAGCUUGCUCCUGGUGGCGAGUGGCGAACGGGUGAGGUAAUGCCAUCGGAACGGUAUCCUGGAGUAGGGGGAUAACGUAGCGAAAGUUACGCUAAUACCGCAUAUUCUGUAGAGGCCUAGGGAAAGCGGGGGACCUUCGGGCCUCGGCGCUCUUGGAGCGGCCGAUGUCGGAUUA
This 244-nucleotide ribosomal RNA is filed under the name bacterium enrichment culture clone ALO1_GLFRUDD03GN9U2. RNAcentral's name for it is "partial 16S ribosomal RNA". It matches the Rfam family "Bacterial small subunit ribosomal RNA", at positions 9 to 243 of the family's 1533-position model. The record is from RNAcentral.